RNAcentral lists this ribosomal RNA (308 nucleotides) under uncultured bacterium. RNAcentral describes it as "partial 16S ribosomal RNA". It matches the Rfam family "Bacterial small subunit ribosomal RNA", at positions 505 to 807 of the family's 1533-position model. The record is from RNAcentral.
GAGACAGCAGUAGCCGCGGGAAUACGUAGGGUGCAAGCGUUAAUCGGAAUUACUGGGCGUAAAGCGUGCGCAGGCGGUUAUAUAAGACAGAUGUGAAAUCCCCGGGCUCAACCUGGGAACUGCAUUUGUGACUGUAUAGCUAGAGUACGGCAGAGGGGGAUGGAAUUCCGCGUGUAGCAGUGAAAUGCGUAGAUAUGCGGAGGAACACCGAUGGCGAAGGCAAUCCCCUGGGCCUGUACUGACGCUCAUGCACGAAAGCGUGGGGAGCAAACAGGAUUAGAUACCCGCGUAGUCCCUGUCUCUUAUAC